AGUGAACGCUGGCGGUAGGCCUAACACAUGCAAGUCGACCGGCAGCACAGUAAGAGCUUGCUCUUACGGGUGGCGAGUGGCGGACGGGUGAGGAAUACAUCGGAAUCUACUUUUUCGUGGGUGAUAACGUAGGGAAACUUACGCUAAUACCGCAUACGACCUACGGGUGAAAGCAGGGGAUCUUCGGACCUUGCGCGACUGAAUGAGCCGAUGUCGGAUUAGCUAGUUGGCGAGGUAAAGGCCCACCAAGGCGACGAUCCGUAGCUGGUCUGAGAGGAUGAUCAGCCACACUGGAACUGAGACACGGUCCAGACUCCUACGGGAGGCAGCAGUGGGGAAUAUUGGACAAUGGGCGCAAGCCUGAUCCAGCCAUACCGCGUGGGUGAAGAAGGCCUUCGGGUUGUAAAGCCCUUUUGUUGGGAAAGAAAAGCAGCAGGUUAAUACCCCGCUGUUCUGACGGUACCCAAAGAAUAAGCACCGGCUAACUUCGUG
Molecule: ribosomal RNA, 492 nt
Filed under: uncultured bacterium
Lineage: Bacteria
Description: partial 16S ribosomal RNA
Rfam family: Bacterial small subunit ribosomal RNA
Source: RNAcentral